RNAcentral lists this microRNA (21 nucleotides) under Gadus morhua (Atlantic cod). RNAcentral describes it as "gmo-miR-7132a-5p". Lineage: Eukaryota; Metazoa; Chordata; Actinopteri; Gadiformes; Gadidae. The record is from miRBase by way of RNAcentral.
GACUUGGUCAAAGCUCCUCAG